AUUGAACGCUGGCGGCAGGCCUAACACAUGCAAGUCGAACGGUAGCACAGAGAGCUUGCUCUCGGGUGACGAGUGGCGGACGGGUGAGUAAUGUCUGGGAAACUGCCCGAUGGAGGGGGAUAACUACUGGAAACGGUAGCUAAUACCGCAUAAUGUCGCAAGACCAAAGAGGGGGACCUUCGGGCCUCUUGCCAUCGGAUGUGCCCAGAUGGGAUUAGCUUGUUGGUGAGGUAAUGGCUCACCAAGGCGACGAUCCCUAGCUGGUCUGAGGGGAUGACCAGCCACACUGGAACUGAGACACGGUCCAGACUCCUACGGGAGGCAGCAGUGGGGAAUAUUGCACAAUGGGCGCAAGCCUGAUGCAGCCAUGCCGCGUGUGUGAAGAAGGCCUUCGGGUUGUAAAGCACUUUCAGCGGGGAGGAAGGCAAUGCGGUUAAUAACCGUGUUGAUUGACGUUACCCGCAGAAGAAGCACCGGCUAACUCCGUG
RNAcentral lists this ribosomal RNA (488 nucleotides) under uncultured bacterium. RNAcentral's name for it is "partial 16S ribosomal RNA". It matches the Rfam family "Bacterial small subunit ribosomal RNA", at positions 30 to 507 of the family's 1533-position model. The record is from RNAcentral.